This 76-nucleotide transfer RNA is filed under the name Actinomycetes bacterium. Its description in RNAcentral is "Actinobacteria bacterium tRNA-His". It matches the Rfam family "tRNA". From Rfam's summary of the family: Transfer RNA (tRNA) molecules are approximately 80 nucleotides in length. Their secondary structure includes four short double-helical elements and three loops (D, anti-codon, and T loops). The record is from RNAcentral. Lineage: Bacteria; Bacillati; Actinomycetota; Actinomycetes.
GUGGCUGUAGCUCAGUUGGUAGAGCCCCUGGUUGUGGUCCAGGUGGUCGUGGGUUCGAGUCCCAUCAGCCACCUCA